UACUAGCUGGUCAUCUUUUUUUAUACAUCUAAGACCAUCAGUUUGCAUUUGAUUUCUUUGGCAUUAGGUACAUUAAUCUUCUCAAAAGUGUAAUGAAAAUCAUGGGCAAAUUUUAACAAAUUGCUUAAACAUCCCUAGAUUGCUCAGUUGUAAACUGUAUGACUUUAAAAAGAAAGACAAUAGAUAGGAGUACAAAUAACAACAUUACAAAUGUGGAAUAAUUCAAC
Molecule: long non-coding RNA, 227 nt
Filed under: Mytilus galloprovincialis (Mediterranean mussel)
Lineage: Eukaryota; Metazoa; Mollusca; Bivalvia; Mytilida; Mytilidae
Source: RNAcentral